CGGGCGCACGGCGGAUGCCUUGGCACAGGGAGCCGAUGAAGGACGCGGCAAGCUGCGAUAAUCCCCGGCGAGGAGCACACAUCCUUCGACCCGGGGGUCUCCGAAUGGGCGAACCCAUCCACAGAGGUGUGGAUAUCCCCACCCCGAACACAUAGGGGCGGGGAGGACAACCCGGGGAACUGAAACAUCUAAGUACCCGGAGGAGAGGAAAUCAAUCUCGAGACUCCCCGAGUAGCGGCGAGCGAAAGGGGACCGAUGGCCAAACCGUCGAGCGGGCAUACCCGGCAGGGGUUCCGCCGACGGGGUUGCAGGGCCGCGCAUCCGGGGGCUGCCGCCCCCGGGCGCAGGUCCGGCUGGGGAGCGGAACGGCAUGGGAGGGCCGGCCGCAGCGGGUGACAGCCCCGUACGCGAACCCAGACCGGACGGCGCGACGCGGUCCCUGAGUAGGGCCGGGCACGUGAAACCCGGUCCGAACCUGGGUGGACCACCAUCCAAGCCUGAGUACUACCCUGUGACCGAUAGCGCACCAGUACCGUGAGGGAAAGGUGAAAAGCACCCCGGGAGGGGAGUGAAACAGUACCUGAAACCGUGCGCCCACGAGCAGUCGGAGCACCUAUACGGUGUGACGGCGUGCCUUUUGUAGAAUGAGCCAGCGAGUCGCUGGCGCGGGGCGAGGUUAACCGAAAGGGAGCCGGAGCGAAAGCGAGCCUUAACAGGGCGACUUGAGUCCCGCGCCGCGGACGCGAAGCCGGGUGAGCUAUCCGUGGGCAGGCUGAAGCGGGGGUAAGACCCCGUGGAGGGCCGAACGCACGUCGGUUGAAAACGGCGGCGAUGACCUGCGGAUAGGGGUGAAAGGCCAAUCAAACCCGGAGAUAUCUCGUUCUCCCCGAAAUAGCUUUAGGGCUAGCGUCGCGCGUUCACCGCCGGAGGUAGAGCACCGGAUGGACGAGGGGGCUUCGCCGCCUACCGAAUCCAACCGAACUCCGAAUGCCGGCGGCCCAGAGCGCGGCAGUCAGAGCAUGUGGGCUAAGCUGUGUGCUCGAGAGGGAAACAGCCCGGACCGCCCGCUAAGGUCCCCAAGUUCCAGCCGAGUGGCAAAGGAUGUGCGUCCGCCCAGACAACCAGGAUGUUGGCUUAGAAGCAGCCAUGCAUUCAAAGAGUGCGUAACAGCUCACUGGUCGAGUGGACAUGCGCCGACAAUACACGGGGCUAAGCUGGACACCGAAGCGGCGGGAUUUUGAUUUUCAGAAUCGGUAGGGGAGCUUCCCAUGGGCGGUGAAGCCGCCGGGCGACCGGCGGUGGAGCGCAUGGGAGUGAGAAUGCUGGCAUGAGUAGCGAGAGACGAGAGAGUAACUCGUCCGCCGUGAACCCGAGGUUUCCUGGGCAAGGCUAAUCCUCCCAGGGUCAGUCGGGGGCUAAGGCGAGGCCGGGAGGCGUAGCCGACGCGCAGCAGGCAGACAUUCCUGCACCGCGCACGCGGCGCUACGACCGACGGGGCGACGGAUGGGGGUGGCUCGGCGGGGUUCUGGACGUCCCCGUGAUGGAGCGCGGCCCGCGGACCAGGGAAAUCCGGUCCGCACACAGGGCGAGGCUCCGGACGAAGCGAUCAAGCGAAGCGAGUGAGCCCGAGGUCCCUAGAAAAACCCCUAGGCAGGCGCGUGCGCGCCCGUACCGCAAACCGACACAGGUGGGUGGGUAGAACAUACCGAGGCGAUCGGGUCAACCAUGGUCAAGGAACUCGGCACAAUGGCCCCGUAACUUCGGGAGAAGGGGUGCCCGCGCGUACGUGAACCGGCUUGCCCGGGGAGCGGAGGCGGGCCGCAGUGGAGAGGCCCAAGCGACUGUUUACCAAAAACACAGGACUCUGCAGAAGCCGCAAGGCGACGUAUAGGGUCUGACGCCUGCCCGGUGCCGGAAGGUCACGCGGAGGAGUUAGCCGCAAGGCGAAGCCCCGAAGCCAAGCCCCGGUAAACGGCGGCCGUAACUAUAACGGUCCUAAGGUAGCGAAAUUCCUUGUCGGGUAAGUUCCGACCUGCACGAAAGGCGCAACGACUUGGGCGCUGUCUCGACCAUGGACCCGGUGAAAUUGCACUGGUCGUGAAGAUGCGACUUACCCGCGGAAGGACGGAAAGACCCCGUGAACCUUCACUGCAGCUUGGCAUUGGCCGCUGGUCCCGCGUGUAGAGGAUAGGCAGGAGGCGAAGAUCCGGAGGCGCCAGCCCCCGGGGAGCCGCCCUUGGAAUACUGCCCUCGCGCGACCGGCGUCCUAACCCGAGGCCGUCAACCGGCUCGGGGACCGUGCCAGGCGGGCAGUUUGACUGGGGCGGUCGCCUCCUAAAGGGUAACGGAGGCGCGCGAAGGUCCGCUCGGGACGGUCGGCAACCGUCCUUUUGAAUGCAAGAGUACAAGCGGGCUUGACUGCGAGGCCCACAAGCCGAGCAGGUGCGAAAGCAGGCUCUAGUGAUCCGGCGGCCCCGAGUGGGUGGGCCGUCGCUCAACGGAUAAAAGGUACUCCGGGGAUAACAGGCUGAUCUUGCCCAAGAGUCCACAUCGACGGCAAGGUUUGGCACCUCGAUGUCGGCUCAUCGCAUCCUGGGGCUGGAGCAGGUCCCAAGGGUACGGCUGUUCGCCGUUUAAAGCGGUACGCGAGCUGGGUUCAGAACGUCGUGAGACAGUUCGGUCCCUAUCCUCCGUGGGCGCAGGAGAAUCGAUGGAGGCUGCCCCCAGUACGAGAGGACCGGGGUGGACGCACCUCCGGUGAACCGGUUGUCGACCAACGGCACGGCCGGGUAGCCGCGUGCGGCGCGGAUAACCGCUGAAGGCAUCUAAGCGGGAAGCCGUUCCAGGGAUUAGUUCUCCUUCCGGUAAGGGCCCAGGUAGACUACCUGGUCGAUAGACGGCAGGUGCAAGGACGGCGACGUCCUCAGCCGAGCCGCACUAAUCGCCCGAGCUCUUCCGGA
RNAcentral lists this ribosomal RNA (2960 nucleotides) under human gut metagenome. RNAcentral's name for it is "bacterial LSU rRNA". It matches the Rfam family "Bacterial large subunit ribosomal RNA". The record is from RNAcentral.